This 429-nucleotide ribosomal RNA is filed under the name Actinomycetes bacterium. RNAcentral's name for it is "Actinobacteria bacterium partial 16S ribosomal RNA". It matches the Rfam family "Bacterial small subunit ribosomal RNA", at positions 355 to 776 of the family's 1533-position model. Lineage: Bacteria; Bacillati; Actinomycetota; Actinomycetes. The record is from RNAcentral.
UAGGGAAUCUUCCGCAAUGGGCGAAAGCCUGACGGAGCAACGCCGCGUGCGUGAUGAAGGUCUUCGGAUCGUAAAACUCUGUUAUUAGGGAAGAACAAAUGUGUAAGUAACUAUGCACGUCUUGACGGUACCUAAUCAGAAAGCCACGGCUAACUACGUGCCAGCAGCCGCGGUAAUACGUAGGUGGCAAGCGUUAUCCGGAAUUAUUGGGCGUAAAGCGCGCGUAGGCGGUUUUUUAAGUCUGAUGUGAAAGCCCACGGCUCAACCGUGGAGGGUCAUUGGAAACUGGAAAACUUGAGUGCAGAAGAGGAAAGUGGAAUUCCAUGUGUAGCGGUGAAAUGCGCAGAGAUAUGGAGGAACACCAGUGGCGAAGGCGACUUUCUGGUCAGUAACUGACGCUGAUGUGCGAAAGCGUGGGGAUCAAACAGG